Molecule: ribosomal RNA, 488 nt
Filed under: uncultured bacterium
Lineage: Bacteria
Description: partial 16S ribosomal RNA
Rfam family: Bacterial small subunit ribosomal RNA
Source: RNAcentral
GACGAACGCUGGCGGCGUGCUUAACACAUGCAAGUCGAACGCGCCUGUCCUCUGGGUUUCUGGUGGGUGGGUGAGUGGCGAACGGGUGAGUAACACGUGAGUAACCUUCCCCCUUCUUCGGGAUAACGGUCUGAAAGGGCUGCUAAUACCGGGUAUUCACUGGUCUCCGCAUGGGGUCUGGUGGAAAGGUUGUUUUCUGGUGGGGGAUGGGCUCGCGGCCUAUCAGCUUGUUGGUGGGGUGAUGGCCCAGCAAGGCUUUGACGGGUAGCCGGGCUGAGAGGGUGCCCGGUAAGAUGGGCGCUGAGAUACGGCCCAGAAUACUGCGCGAGGCAGCAGUGGGGAAAAUUGCACAAUGGGUGCAAGAAUGAUGCGGCGCCGGAGCGUGCGGGAUGGCGGCCUUGGGGUUGUGAACCUCUUUGGCAAGUGGUCACGCCGGGACGUGGGUCGUGGUGAGGGUAGUGGGUAAAGAAGCGCCGGCUAACUACGUG